This 834-nucleotide ribosomal RNA is filed under the name Triticum aestivum (bread wheat). Its description in RNAcentral is "partial small subunit ribosomal RNA". The record is from RNAcentral. Lineage: Eukaryota; Viridiplantae; Streptophyta; Magnoliopsida; Poales; Poaceae.
AUGGCGUUCUCCAAGCAUGCCAUCGUACUCGCCACUCUCCUCCUCACCGCCCUCCUCAUGGUUGCGGAUGCUCAGCCGACACCCAAGAUAGAUUGCCUGUUAUCGUGUAACGCUCGUUGCGCGAAGAACUGGAGGAACAAGAUAUGUAACAAGGACUGCAAUAUCUGUUGCGACAAGUGUAACUGCGUCCCUUCCGGCACAGGCCAGGAGACCCGUAACGAAUGCCCCUGCUACGCCAACUUGGUUGACUCAAAGACCGGCAAGCUCAAUGAUGGUAUGCAGAUAUUCAUCAAGUGUUACAUCAACAACCGCUUCAAGGAGCCCAGGCUCAUAGUUUCCAUCCAAGACACGAAAGGUGGAAAAAGGAAGACAGAACCAUCAAGCAACAAGCCCGGACGGCCAAGACCCGGGAACGACUACGCCCGGCAACAACUGACGCCAGCUGGCCCGCCCUCAGUAAGCGUCGACAACAAGCUAUCGUCCCCAUGCAUGGCGCGACUGUUCUGUGCACAUAGAGCCUUUACGCCACACAGUGGGAGGGCAGGCGCGCCGGUAGAGGGACAAGAUGUGAGGGAUGAAUCAAGCCCACGCUCCAUCGCAUGUUCUAAGUCCACCCUCGACUCACAACUGAGACCCAACUUUUUUAGUCCUAGUUGCAAGUUCACCCCUGACUCGCAAUUGGAGCCCCAUCUUUUUAGACCCAAUUGCAUGUCCAUCUUCUAUCUGCAACUGGGGCCGACUGUUUUUGUCUUGGUUGCAAGUCCACCAACGACUCACAACUGGGUUCCCGACCUUUUUUUCCUAGUUGAUAGUCCAACAUCGACUCACAACUGA